GAUGAACGCUGGCGGCGUGCCUAAUACAUGCAAGUCGAGCGAACAGACGAGGAGCUUGCUCCUCUGACGUUAGCGGCGGACGGGUGAGUAACACGUGGAUAACCUACCUAUAAGACUGGGAUAACUUCGGGAAACCGGAGCUAAUACCGGAUAAUAUAUUGAACCGCAUGGUUCAAUAGUGAAAGACGGUUUUGCUGUCACUUAUAGAUGGAUCCGCGCCGCAUUAGCUAGUUGGUAAGGUAACGGCUUACCAAGGCAACGAUGCGUAGCCGACCUGAGAGGGUGAACGGCCACACUGGAACUGAGACACGGUCCAGACUCCUACGGGAGGCAGCAGUAGGGAAUCUUCCGCAAUGGGCGAAAGCCUGACGGAGCAACGCCGCGUGAGUGAUGAAGGUCUUCGGAUCGGAAAACUCUGUUAUUAGGGAAGAACAAAUGUGUAAGUAACUAUGCACGUCUUGACGGUACCUAAUCAGAAAGCCACGGCUAAGUACGUG
RNAcentral lists this ribosomal RNA (497 nucleotides) under uncultured bacterium. RNAcentral's name for it is "partial 16S ribosomal RNA". It matches the Rfam family "Bacterial small subunit ribosomal RNA", at positions 28 to 507 of the family's 1533-position model. The record is from RNAcentral.